UACGGGGGGGUAAGCGUUGUUCGGAAUUACUGGGCGUAAAGGGCUCGUAGGCGGCCAACUAAGUCAGACGUGAAAUCCCUCAGCUUAACUGGGGAACUGCGUCUGAUACUGGAUGGCUUGGAUUUGGGAGAGGGAUGCGGAAUUCCAGGUGUAGCGGUGAAAUGCGCAGAUAUCAGGUGGAACACCGGUGGCGAAGGCGGUGGUCUGGGCCGGCACUGACGCUGUAGAGCGAAAGCGUGGGGAGCGAACAGG
Molecule: ribosomal RNA, 252 nt
Filed under: uncultured bacterium
Lineage: Bacteria
Description: partial 16S ribosomal RNA
Rfam family: Bacterial small subunit ribosomal RNA
Source: RNAcentral